CAGUCGCCACGGUAAUACAGAGGGUGCGAGCGUUAAUCGGAUUUACUGGGCGUAAAGCGUGCGUAGGCGGCUUUUUGAGUCGGAUGUGAAAUCCCUGAGCUUAACUUAGGAAUUGCAUUCGAUACUGGGAAGCUAGAGUAUGGGAGAGGAUGGUAGAAUUCCAGGUGUAGCGGUGAAAUGCGUAGAGAUCUGGAGGAAUACCGAUGGCGAAGGCAGCCAUCUGGCCUAAUACUGACGCUGAGGUACGAAAGCAUGGGGAGCAAACAGGAUUAGAUACCCCAGUAGUCCCUGUCUCUUAUAU
RNAcentral lists this ribosomal RNA (301 nucleotides) under uncultured bacterium. Its description in RNAcentral is "partial 16S ribosomal RNA". It matches the Rfam family "Bacterial small subunit ribosomal RNA", at positions 509 to 809 of the family's 1533-position model. The record is from RNAcentral.